GGCAUUAACUGACGCUGAGGAGCGAAAGCAUGGGGAGCGAACAGGAUUAGAUACCCUGGUAGUCCAUGCCGUAAACGUUGGGCACUAGGUGUGGGGGACAUUCCACGUUUUCCGCGCCGUAGCUAACGCAUUAAGUGCCCCGCCUGGGGAGUACGGCCGCAAGGCUAAAACUCAAAGGAAUUGACGGGGGCCCGCACAAGCGGCGGAGCAUGCGGAUUAAUUCGAUGCAACGCGAAGAACCUUACCAAGGCUUGACAUGAACCGGAAAGACCUGGAAACAGGUGCCCCGCUUGCGGUCGGUUUACAGGUGGUGCAUGGUUGUCGUCAGCUCGUGUCGUGAGAUGUUGGGUUAAGUCCCGCAACGAGCGCAACCCUCGUUCUAUGUUGCCAGCACGUGAUGGUGGGGACUCAUAGGAGACUGCCGGGGUCAACUCGGAGGAAGGUGGGGACGACGUCAAAUCAUCAUGCCCCUUAUGUCUUGGGCUUCACGCAUGCUACAAUGGCCGGUACAAAGGGUUGCGAUACUGUGAGGUGGAGCUAAUCCCAAAAAGCCGGUCUCAGUUCGGAUUGGGGUCUGCAACUCGACCCCAUGAAGUCGGAGUCGCUAGUAAUCGCAGAUCAGCAACGCUGCGGUGAAUACGUUCCCGGGCCUUGUACACACCGCCCGUCAAGUCACGAAAGUUGGUAACACCCGAAGCCGG
RNAcentral lists this ribosomal RNA (701 nucleotides) under unidentified microorganism. RNAcentral describes it as "bacterial SSU rRNA". It matches the Rfam family "Bacterial small subunit ribosomal RNA", at positions 732 to 1430 of the family's 1533-position model. The record is from RNAcentral.